RNAcentral lists this long non-coding RNA (4035 nucleotides) under Sus scrofa (pig). RNAcentral describes it as "lncRNA (ENSSSCG00030072592.1)". Lineage: Eukaryota; Metazoa; Chordata; Mammalia; Artiodactyla; Suidae. The record is from RNAcentral.
CAUUUGCUAUUCAAACCAACCAGUGACUUCAAAAGGACAAUAACAAUUUUAGUUUCAGUUUACUUAAUGUAAGCCUGUGCUUUUUGAUGGUAAUUAUUCAGAAAGUUCUGUGACUUUGUUACUCAGUUUGCUUUUGGAUAGCAAUGAUAAAAUUAUAAUGCUAAGAAGGAAAAUUCAAUUACUUAGCAUAUUUGUAGAGUAAUCACAGUAUAUUAAGUAUGUGUUGGAUGCCAGAGAUAUAAAGAUAAGGAAGAUGUAGUACUUGCCAUCAUGAAGACCAGUAUCCAAUGAGAACAAAACAAAAUGGUACAAUCCUAACAGAGGUUUGAACUACAGGUAUGGGAUAAAGAGGAAAGGCUUCUUAAGACUGUCAUUUAAAUUGAGCUGAAAUAUACGUGUGUGUGUGUGGACUCAUUUAAAUUGAGCUGAUAUAUACUUGUUUUCCUUUUUUGUCCAGCCAGGGAGAUGUGCAGGUAUACCUUCUUUUAUUGGACUUUGCAGAUAUUGUAUUUUUCACAAAUUGAAGGUUUGUUGCAACUCUGCGUCUAUUGGCAGCAUUUGCUCAUUUUGUGUCCGUCUGUCACAUUUUGGUAAUUCUUGUAAUAUUUCAAACCUUUCCGUUAUUAUUAUAUUUGUUAUGGUGAUCUGUGAUCAGUGAUCUUUGAUGUUACUGUUGUAACUGGGGCCAUCAGAGAGGGCAUCCGUAUAAUACCAACUUAAUAGAUAAAUGUGGCUGUUCUGACUGCUCCACUGACCAGCCAUUCCUUGGUGUCUCUCCUUGUUCUCAGGCAUCCCUAUUCCUUGAGACACAAUAGUAUUGAAAUCAGGCCAAUUAUUAGCCCUGCAAUGGCCUUGAGGUAUUCAAGUGAAAGGAAGAGUUGCACAUCUCUCACUCUAAAUCAAAAACUAGAAAUGAUUGUGCUUAGUGUCAAAAUGUGAGAUAGGCUAGAGGCUAGACCUCCUGCUCCACACAGGGAGCCUAGUUGUGAAUGCAGAGGGAAAGUUCUUGAAGAAGAUCGAAAGUGCUGCUCCAGUGAACACACGAAUGAUAAGAAAGCAAAACAGCCUUAUUGCCGACAUGGAGUAAGUUUUAGGGGUUUGGAUAGAAGAUCAAGACCCCUAAAACCUGAUCUUCCCUUAACAUUUCUUUCAGCCAAAGCCUAAUCCAGAGUAAGGACCUAAUUCUUCAAUUCUGUGAAGGCUGAGAUAGGUGGUGAAGUUGAAGUUUGAAGGUAGCAGAGGUUGAUUCAUGGGCUUUAAAGAAAAUAAUCUCUCUAACAUAGAAGUGCAAAGGGAAGCACCAAGUGCUGAUGUAGAAGCUGCAGCAAGUUAUCCAAAAGAUCUAGCUAAGAUAAUGAAUGAAGAUGGCUAGACUAAAAAACAGAUUUUCCAUAUAGAGGAAAUAGCCUUAAGUUGGAAGAUGUUAUCUAGGACGUUCAUAGUUAGAGAGGAGAAGUCAGUGCCUGGUUAAAGCUUCAAAGGACAGGCUGGCUUGCUUGUUAGGGGCUAAUGCAACUGGUGACUUUAAGUUGAAACCAAUGCGCAUUUACCAUUUCGAAAGUCCUAGAGCCCUUAGGAAUUGUGCUCAUUCUACUCCACCCUGCUCUAUAAGUGGAACAACAGAGUCUGAAUGACAGUACAUCUAUGGACAAUGCAAUUUACUGAAUAUUUUAAGCCCACUGUUGAGACCUACUGCUCAGAAAAAUGAGAUUCCUUUCCAAAUAUGCCUGCUCACUGAUAAUACACCUGGUCACCGAAGAGCUCUGAGGGAGAUGUGCAGUGAGAUGAGUGUUGUUUCAAUGCCUGCUGAACAACAUCCAUUCUACAGUCCACGGAUUAAGGAGUCACUUCACCUUUAAAGUCUUAUUUAAGAAAUGCAUUUCAUAAGGCUACAGUUGCCAUAGAUAGUGAUUCCUCUGAAGGAUCUGAGUAAAAUAUGUUGAAAACCUAGAAAGGCUUCACCAUUCUAGAUUCCAUUAAGAACACUGGUGAUUCAUAGGAAGGGGUCAGAAUAUCAACAUUAACAGGAGUUUGGAAGAAGCUGAUUCCAAUCCUCAUGGAUGAUUUUAAGAGGUUAAAGACCUCAGUGGAGGAAGUAACGCAGAUGUGAAAGAAAUGCAAGAGAACUAGAAUUUGCCGUGGGCCCUGGAGUUGUAACCUAAUUGCUGCCAUCUCCUGAUAAAACUUGAGUGGAUGAGAAGCUGCUUCCUAGGGAUGAACAAAGAAAGUGGUUUCUUGAGAUAGAAUCUAUUCAUGGUAAGGAUGUGAAGAUUGUUGAAAUGACAAAAAGGGAUUUAGAAUAUUGCAUAAAUUUAGUUGAUAAGGUACCAGCAGCGUUUGAGAAGAUUGCCUUUGAUUUUGACAAAGUUCUGUUGUGGGUAAAAAGCUAUCAAACAGCAUUACGUGCCACAGAGAAAUUGUUAUCAAAGGAAGGGUCAAUCCAUGUGGCAAGAUUCACUGUCUUUUGUUAAGAAAUUGCCACAGUCAGCCCAACCUUCAGAACCACCACCACCCUGAUCAUUUUAGCAGUUGUCCACAUGGAGAUAAGACCCUCCACUAGAAAAAGAUGAGGACUUGCUGAAUGCUCAGGUGGUGGUUGCCCAUUUUUUAGCAAUAAUGUAUUUUUUAAUUAAGGUAUGUGCAUUAUUUUUUUUAGACAUAAUGCUAUUGCAUAGUUAAUAGACUACAGUAUACUGUAAACAUAAUUUAUAUGCACUGGGAAACCAAAACAUUUGUGUGACUCAACUUUAUUGUGACAUUCAUUUUAUUGAGGUGUUCUGAAACAGAACCUUCCUUAUCUCAGAGGUAUGCCUGUAUUUAAUUUAUCCACUGGCUUUACUAAGUUAUGUAAGAUAAAAGGAAAUUAUAGGGACAUUAAUCCCCUUUAUAACACCCAGGAAAGUAAAGCUGACUAUUGAUUACAAGGCAAUAUGCAAAGUGCUUUCAUAUGCAUUAUUUGGUUUACUCAGCCAUUUAUGAUAGCAGAACUGAAGCUCAGAAUCUUGUGGACUCGUAUUACACAGCUAAUUCAUUAAAUAAGUGGAGGAAAAGUUGAUUUGAUCACUCUCUUUAGAUUAUAGGCAGCUCCCAGUUCGAUUUGGGUUUUUUCACAAGCUAUUUCCUAAAAAUCCUGGGGUCUGGUGGUUUGUAAUCCUAGUGGUUUGGAAAUUUUAGUGUACUUCAGAAUAACCUGGAUAACUUAUGAAAACAGACUUCUAGCUUCUAUCCUCAGAGUUUCUGAUUUAGUAGGUCUAGGAUGGAGCCUUGGAACUUGGGUUCACAGAUCACACUUUGAGAACCAGUGUUACAGAUUUAAAAAGGCUUAUUUGUCUAAGUGUUAAUGUCUAAAAUGCACGUGUGGAUGAAUACAAAUUUACAUCUUUUUCUUUCCUCAUAUAGCAAUUAUCUCUAUCCCAUUUGCUUCCUACGAUUGGGAAAUAAGUCAGAAAGGGAAAACAAAUACCAUAUGAUAUCACUUAUAUCUGGAAUCUAAUAUAAGCACAAAUGAACCUUUCUACAGAAAAGAAGCAAACUCCUGGACUUGGAGAACAAACUUGUAUAGUUUCCAAGGAGGAGGGAGUCAGAUGGACUGGGAGUUUGGGGUUAGUAGAUGUAAACUAUUGCAUUUGGGGCGGAUAAGCAAUGAGAUCCUGCUGUAUAGCACAGAGAACUCUAUCUAGUCACUUGUGAUGAAACAUGAUGGAGGAUAAUGUGAGAAAAAGAAUGUGUGUGUGUGUAUAUAUAUAUAUAUAUAUGCACACACGAAUGGGUCACUUCACUAUACAGCAGAAAUUGACAGAACAAUGUAAAUCAACUAUAAUAGAAAAAAUAACCUCCAUAAAAAUAAAGGACACAGUGAACUCUUUAGGAUGGCUAUUAUAAACUACACAGAAAGUACAAGUGAUGGUGAGAAUGCAGAGAAAUUGGAAUCCUUGUGCACUGCUGAUGGGAAUACAAAAUUGUGAAUCUAUAGUGGGAAGACAGUCUGGUAAUUCAGCAAAAAAAAACCAAAAAAAAAAAACCAAAAAAAAAAAA